This 440-nucleotide ribosomal RNA is filed under the name uncultured bacterium. Its description in RNAcentral is "partial 16S ribosomal RNA". It matches the Rfam family "Bacterial small subunit ribosomal RNA", at positions 338 to 795 of the family's 1533-position model. The record is from RNAcentral.
CCUACGGGUGGCUGCAGUGGGGAAUAUUGCACAAUGGAGGAAACCCUGAAGCAGCGACGCCGCGUGCGUGAUGACGUAUCUCGGUAUGUUAAGCUCUAUCAGUACGGGAGAUAACUACGUUACCUGACUAAUAUGCCCCGGAUAACUUCGUGCCAGCACCGGCGGUAAUACGUAAGCGGCAUCCGUUAUCCGGAUUUACUGGGUGUAAAGGGAGCGUAGGUGGUGGAGUAGGUGAGUUGUGAAAGCCCGGGGCUCAAUCUCGGGAGUGCAUUGGGAACUGUUCAGCUGGAGUGCAGGGGAGGUAGGCGGAAUUCGUGGUGUAGCGGUGAAAUGCAUAGAUAUUACGAGGAACACCAAUGGCGAAGGCGGCUUACUGGACUGUUACUGACGCUGAGGCUCGAAAGCGUGGGGAGCGAACAGGAUUAGAUACCCCUGUAGUC